AUUGAACGCUGGCGGAAUGCUUUACACAUGCAAGUCGAACGGCAGCACGGACUUCGGUCUGGUGGCGAGUGGCGAACGGGUGAGUAACAUAUCGGAACGUAUCCAAUAAUGGGGGAUAACGGGUCGAAAGAUUCGCUAAUACCGCAUACGCCCUACGGGGGAAAGCUGGGGACCUUCGGGCCUGGCGUUAAUGGAGCGGCCGAUAUCUGAUUAGCUAGUUGGUGAGGUAAAGGCUCACCAAGGCGACGAUCAGUAGCUGGUCUGAGAGGGCGACCAGCCACACUGGAACUGAGACACGGUCCAGACUCCUACGGGAGGCAGCAGUGGGGAAUUUUGGACAAUGGGCGCAAGCCUGAUCCAGCCAUUCCGCGUGAGUGAAGAAGGCCUUCGGGUUGUAAAGCUCUUUCGCAAGGGAAGAAAACUUAGCCACUAACAUUGGUUGAGGUUGACGGUACCUUGAUAAGAAGCACCGGCUAACUACGUGCCAGCCGCCGCCGUAA
RNAcentral lists this ribosomal RNA (500 nucleotides) under uncultured bacterium. RNAcentral's name for it is "partial 16S ribosomal RNA". It matches the Rfam family "Bacterial small subunit ribosomal RNA", at positions 30 to 523 of the family's 1533-position model. The record is from RNAcentral.